This 71-nucleotide transfer RNA is filed under the name Pomadasys kaakan (javelin grunt). RNAcentral's name for it is "tRNA-Glu". It matches the Rfam family "tRNA". From Rfam's summary of the family: Transfer RNA (tRNA) molecules are approximately 80 nucleotides in length. Their secondary structure includes four short double-helical elements and three loops (D, anti-codon, and T loops). Lineage: Eukaryota; Metazoa; Chordata; Actinopteri; Lutjaniformes; Haemulidae. The record is from RNAcentral.
GUUCUUUUAGUUGAAUGUUACAACAGUGGUUUUUCACGCCAUCGGUCUUGGUUGAAGUCCAGGUGAGAACU